Non-coding RNA from Erythranthe guttata (spotted monkey flower), 383 nucleotides. The record is from RefSeq and is a predicted model, not a curated record. NCBI's taxonomy places the organism in Eukaryota, Viridiplantae, Streptophyta, Magnoliopsida, Lamiales, Phrymaceae.
AAGAGUGAGUGAAUCUGUUUAAGAUAGUUUUGGUUGCUCCAAGAAUCUACAGAGCCAAGCAAUACGUAAUGGGAAGCGCAUAAAGACAAUCAAUUAUGCAAUUGAAGGUUGCUUGGCUGAAAUAUUUGGUUACUAUGGAUGCACAAACAAUAGCGAAGACAAUUUUGCAUCAGUUUUAUGGCCAAGUCGUACUAUGGUAUGCAAUUUGAAGAUUGCUUUCAAGAGUAGUUUGUCAUUAAUUAAAUCUUAGAAGUUUCUAAAGCUAAAAAUUGAAAAGGUAUAGGUGUGUUAGUUUUUGGAGAGAUUUUAUGUUCUAGAUGUUGGAAUACUUGUUACUAAUUCUUUGUAAUUUUGAACCAUUGAAAUUAAUGAAUUACUUUUAA